GACUGCAGGCUGCAACUCGCCUGCACGAAGUCGGAAUUGCUAGUAAUCGUAGGUCAGCAUACUACGGUGAAUACGUUCCCGGGCCUUGUACACACCGCCCGUCAAACCAUGAGAGUUGGCAACACCCGAAGUCGGUAGUCUAACCGCGAGGAGGACGCCGCCGAAGGUGGGGUUGAUGAUUAGGGUUAAGUCGUAACAAGGUAUC
Molecule: ribosomal RNA, 205 nt
Filed under: uncultured bacterium
Lineage: Bacteria
Description: partial 16S ribosomal RNA
Rfam family: Bacterial small subunit ribosomal RNA
Source: RNAcentral